Molecule: long non-coding RNA, 755 nt
Filed under: Ornithorhynchus anatinus (platypus)
Lineage: Eukaryota; Metazoa; Chordata; Mammalia; Monotremata; Ornithorhynchidae
Description: lncRNA (ENSOANG00000051158.1)
Source: RNAcentral
GAUUGAUUGUUGAAUGCUUGGAAAUUUGGGGAUAUUACCUUCCCCUUACUUUUUCUCAUCAUUUCUGUUUCACUAGAGUGGGACCAGAAAGAGAAUGGCAACUUGGCUGUCUCUGGAACCCAGUUCCACAAAGUCCCUCAAUGGAAUUCCUAUGCUAGUGAAAUCCUAGGCAUUCAUCCUGCUUAAAUGCUGGUGUGGAUGAAAAGGCUUACCAAAGACUGCCCCGACCAUCCAUCCCACACUGUGUGCACACACAUGAAGAAGAGAGCUCCUAGCCCCAGGAAUUCCAGGCUCUGGAACAGAACCCAUGGGGAGAUUUGGUGAUUCCCUUUCCUGGUGAACUACAAGAUUAGGACAGGCUCCCCUCGACCCUAGGGUGAGUCAAUGACAGACCUGCUUAGAGGCAGUGGGAUGGAUAAAGUGAUUUUCUUGGGGUUGCUGCUGUCUUUAUGUGAUGUGCCUAAGUGUGACUGAAUCAAAUUCAGUUCCUCCCUACUGCCAUGAGACUCUUCAACUGCCACUAAUGACCUAUUUCUAAUUCUAUUCAUUUCUAAUUCUAUUUAUUUAUAUUGAUGCCUGUUCACUUGUUUUGAUGUCUGUCUCCCCCCUUCUGGACAAUAAGCCCAGUGUGGGCAGGGAUUGUCUCUCUUUAUUGCUGAAUUGUACCUUCCAAGUGCUUAGGACAGUGUUCUGCACACAGUAAGCGCUCAAUAAAUAAGAUUGAAUGAUUGAAUAUUUAUUAAGUAUUUGCUAUG